This 559-nucleotide long non-coding RNA is filed under the name Mus caroli (Ryukyu mouse). Its description in RNAcentral is "lncRNA (MGP_CAROLIEiJ_G0004450.1)". Lineage: Eukaryota; Metazoa; Chordata; Mammalia; Rodentia; Muridae. The record is from RNAcentral.
AGAGGAGCUGACAGCCGAAGGAGGAGCGGCCGCGUUCUGCUGAGCUGCCGAGGGAUCAGGUUUGCCAGAGGAGGAGCGCGCAUGGCACUGCAUCUCCGAACUCCCCAACACCAUGGAGGUGGUUUACUGUUGGAUCUGAGCAGCCACUCACUGGGCAGCACCUUAGCUGCUGUAUUCACCGUGCUGAAGGAGGCUAUGGGCAUCCUGCCCAGAGAAGCAGGAUGUCCAGGAUUGUGCCUACCUUCAACUAGGAUGUAGUGGGAACUUGAAACCUGAGACUUCCAGACGAUGCUGGCCACCAACUGGUGCCUCACACAGAAACCCCACGGGUCCUGCCAGCACUGGACCCUUGCUCUUUCUCCUGUAGCUUUGCCUUGGCUCAAGACCCAUCUGCACCAGUUCUAUGGUCUCUGGGAGCUCCUUUGGAGGCCUGGCUGUCCCUGUGCUCUGCAAGAGCAGACAAGAUGUGGGUCUUGCUGGAUUCCAACCAGGCCUGAACUCUCUGCAUGAAGGAGGAGACUGGAGUCUCUCCAUCCAAUUUAGGAAUUCUGUGAACAAA